RNAcentral lists this long non-coding RNA (414 nucleotides) under Gossypium raimondii (Peruvian cotton). RNAcentral describes it as "long non-coding RNA (GRAI_LNC003713)". The record is from RNAcentral. Lineage: Eukaryota; Viridiplantae; Streptophyta; Magnoliopsida; Malvales; Malvaceae.
GACCAUGUCACCUUUAAAAAACCCUAGCCCCCUUUCCCUUUUAUUUUGCCUUCGUCCCCAACCUAGCCAUCACUCUACCUAUCAUCAUUAACCAACCUCCUACUCUGUCUACCGUCGUCGUUCACACCCCAUAUCUGUCGCCGUCCCCCUUCCCCUACCUUCUCUAGUCGCACCCAAACCACCUAGUCUCAGCCUUUGCCCCCACACCACCACGCACCCUCAGCCCCCACCUCGUCGCCCUCCUCACCAAACGAACCACACGCUGCACCCUAACCACGAUCUCGCCCCUCACCUCGUUGCCCCUCUCACCUUCGAGCCACACACACAGCUCACUGACCCCCUUUCCUCAUCUUUCUUCUUCUCACACAACCAGCCCCGUUCCACCACCACCCAUGCUGACCUCCACCGCGUGCC